CGGCGCCACCAUUACCCGUCAGUCAGUCCUUCUCCCUCUCUUAUCCAUCCCAGAGAUAUCUGCGGAUGCCACUCUGGAGCUCGUGUCCAAAUUAAUACUCCCACCAAGAACACCAUCCUCCCUAUUCGCCGCGGCGCGGCUCUGAUUUUCUGGUGUUUCUUGGUUCUUUGGAGUCGCAGCUUCGAAGAGGGGUUGAGAGUAUCUCCCGGGAGCUUCGGGAAUUCUUGGUUUCUUGAUGUGGAGAUUGCUACCUUGCAAUGGCAAUCGGUGCCAAGAAGAGGGGAGUGCUAUGAGGCUGUGAAUUCAUGGCCAGUAGAGGUGUAUCCGCCCCCGCGUCGUAGGCGCUGGUGUGUGCCCGGAAGAUGUGGUCUCCGUCGCAUGACCUUAAUGAGCUGCUCCGUGGUCAGCUCUAGCGGCGCUGCGGUCUGGCCAGCCGCAGAGGAGAGGAUCGGGCGCCGGAGGGUUUGUGCAUGCAAGAUGUUCGAUGUCAGUUCCCAGAGGAGCAGGAGGGCGAGGCACCUGGUGGGUUUUGCCAAGAAGAGGAGGAGGGGUUCCAAGAGGCAGCAGCCAUGGUGGAAGGCGUGGUUCUCGGAUUGGAACGACGAGGAAGAGAGCCUGGCCGGCUGGAGGGAGGACGACGAGUUGCUCCAGGAGGUUGUCAGCGACGAAGACCUGUCGGAGGAUGACAAGUUUCAGACGUGGAAGAGGAAGGCCGAGGCGAUUGUCGAGCUGCGGGAGGCCCAGCAGGAUGCCGACAAUGCUGAAGGGCGGUCCUGGGAGGAUUGGAUCGGUGGGGGCAGCACGGCGGCGACGGGAGGUGGUGGUGAUUGGGGCGGGGGUGGGAGCUUCUCGGACCAGAUAACCGAUGAUCCGACGCAGAUAGUGAGGGAUAAGGGCAUCAUUGAAACUUUUAAGGAUUCCAUCGAUGAAGAUUACGAAGACAUGUUGUUUGAGGACCGGGUUUUUUUAUAUGCUUCGGCGAACUCGGCCAAAUUCCUAGCAUUGUUGAUCGUGGUUCCAUGGGUGCUAGAUUUUCUAGUGCAUGACUAUGUUAUGAUGCCAUUCCUAGACAGGUAUGUCAAAAAGGUACCACUUGCUGCUGAACUGCUUGAUGUAAGACGCAGUCAGAAGCUUCAGAUGAUAAAGGAUCUAAAUCUUGAGAAAGCAAGAUUCCGUCUUGAAGUAGAGAUUGGUCAAUCUCCUCCACUUUCUGAUGAGGUGUUCUGGUCAGAGUUGCAGGAAAAAGCGGUAGAGUUGAGGGAUGAAUGGAGAUUAGAAAACCGACAAGCAUUUGCAAACAUCUGGUCUGAUAUCGUUUAUGGGGCCACCCUAUUCCUUAUUAUGUACUUUAACCAGAGUAAAGUUGCAAUGCUGAAGUUCACAGGCUAUAAAUUACUAAAUAACAUCUCGGACAGUGGGAAGGCCUUUCUUAUCAUUCUAGUGUCAGAUAUCCUUCUGGGGUACCAUUCAGAGGCAGGUUGGCACUCGUUGGUAGAAAUCAUUCUUGAACACUAUGGGCUUGAAGCCGACCAAGCUGCAGUCACCUUUUUCGUUUGUCUGGUUCCAGUUGCCCUGGAUGUAUUUAUAAAGUUUUGGGUAUAUAAAUACCUUCCAAGAUUAUCUCCUAGUGUGGGUAACAUUUUGGAUGAAGUGAGGCGCCACUAGAGAAUUUUUUCCAUCAGGAAUUUUAGUUCCUUACAUAAGGGAAUUGCUAGGAGAAGUUCAUUCCAGGUCGGUCCAUGGAUCAUCUGAACUAGGACUUCAAUUCUUGAAGAACCGUUCUUCGACAGGCCUCAGCUUGGAGUUGCGAUGUGUUUGUUCAAUUAGUCAUCAGUUGGAUCUCUAUGUGCUAUGGCUGGCAACUUCGGGUGUCACCUGAACCAGUUAUUGUUCCUUCUAAAAAAACAUGCCACACUAUACAAAUUAUCGUGUGCUAUAGAUAUCUCCCGGUAAAUGUCAAGAUUUUGCGCCAUAGGUUCAUACAGGCGAAUGCAGUUUUCUUACAUACAGAUUUAUGAAUGCCAAGUGGUUUUCGUUCCCAGAGUGCUCACAAAGGAGCAUCUUCUUUUUCAUUAUCCUGUUGUGACUUCUGAAGAGACUACUAUAGAAUAAUGUAUAAAUACAAUAGAUGCAACAGAGUGGUAACUUUUUCUUC
Molecule: RNA transcript, 2155 nt
Organism: Lolium rigidum
Lineage: Eukaryota; Viridiplantae; Streptophyta; Magnoliopsida; Poales; Poaceae
Gene name: chloroplast envelope membrane protein
Exons: 8
Source: RefSeq, a predicted model, not a curated record